Molecule: ribosomal RNA, 447 nt
Filed under: uncultured bacterium
Lineage: Bacteria
Description: bacterial SSU rRNA
Rfam family: Bacterial small subunit ribosomal RNA
Source: RNAcentral
UCGGGAAUUUUGGGCAAUGGGGGAAACCCUGACCCAGCAACGCCGCGUGAAGGAUGAAGUAUUUCGGUAUGUAAACUUCGAAAGAAUAGGAAGAAUAAAUGACGGUACUAUUUAUAAGGUCCGGCUAACUACGUGCCAGCAGCCGCGGUAAUACGUAGGGACCAAGCGUUGUUCGGAUUUACUGGGCGUAAAGGGCGCGUAGGCGGCAUGACAAGUCACUUGCGAAAUCUCUGGGCUUAACCCAGAACGGCCAAGUGAUACUGUCGCGCUAGAGUGCAGAAGGGGCAAUCGGAAUUCUUGGUGUAGCGGUGAAAUGCGUAGAUAUCAAGAGGAACACCUGAGGUGAAGACGGGUUGCUGGGCUGACACUGACGCUGGGGCGCGAAAGCCAGGGGAGCAAACGGGAUUAGAUACCCGCGUAGUCCCUGAGCGGGCUGGCAAGGCGCAU